RNAcentral lists this ribosomal RNA (974 nucleotides) under Agelena silvatica. Its description in RNAcentral is "SSU rRNA". It matches the Rfam family "Eukaryotic small subunit ribosomal RNA", at positions 1 to 968 of the family's 1831-position model. The record is from RNAcentral. Lineage: Eukaryota; Metazoa; Arthropoda; Arachnida; Araneae; Agelenidae.
UUUUACUUUUGUGUUGAGCUGCCAGUAGUCAUAGUGCUUGUCUCAAAGAUUAAGCCAUGCAUGUCUAAGUACAUGCCGUAUUAAGGCGAAACCGCGAAUGGCUCAUUAAAUCAGUCAUGGUUCCUUGGAUCGUACCUUACUACUUGGAUAACUGUGGCAAUUCUAGAGCUAAUACAUGCAGCAGAGCUCCGACCUUCGGGGACGAGCGCUUUUAUUAGACCAAAACCAAUCGGACCUCGUGUCCGUCUCUUGUGGUGACUCUGUAUAACUUUGGGCUGAUCGCACGGGCCUGUCCCGGCGACGUAUCUUUCAAGUGUCUGCCUUAUCAACUUUCGAUGGUAGGUUACGCGCCUACCAUGGUCGUAACGGGUAACGGGGAAUCAGGGUUCGAUUCCGGAGAGGGAGCCUGAGAAACGGCUACCACAUCCAAGGAAGGCAGCAGGCGCGCAAAUUACCCACUCCCAGAACGGGGAGGUAGUGACGAAAAAUAACAAUACGGGACUCUUUUGAGACCCCGUAAUUGGAAUGAGUACACUCUAAAUCCUUUAACGAGGAUCCAUUGGAGGGUAAGUCUGGUGCCAGCAACCGCGGUAAUUCCAGCUCCAAUAGCGUAUAUUAAAGUUGUUGCGGUUAAAAAGCUCGUAGUUGGAUCUCAGUUCCAGACGGGUGGUCCUCCUACCGGUGGUUACUGCCUGUUCUGAACAGUCAGCCGGUUUCUCUUGAUGAUCUUCACCGGUUGUCUUGGGUGACCGGCAAGUUUACUUUGAAAAAAUUAGAGUGCUCAAAGCAGGCGUGACGCCUGAAUAAUGGUGCAUGGAAUAAUGGAAUAGGACCUCGGUUCUAUUUUGUUGGUUUUCGGAACACGAGGUAAUGAUUAAGAGGGACAGACGGGGGCAUUCGUAUUGCGACGCUAGAGGUGAAAUUCUUGGACCGUCGCAAGACGAACUACUGCGAAGACUUUGCGCCGGAGGGAA